Salvelinus sp. IW2-2015 is the source of this 430-nucleotide non-coding RNA. The record is from RefSeq and is a predicted model, not a curated record. NCBI's taxonomy places the organism in Eukaryota, Metazoa, Chordata, Actinopteri, Salmoniformes, Salmonidae.
UGAAGCGGCUGAAAGCGAGCGGACUAGAAGCCCCGUUAAUGUGGCGGCUGGAGUUGUAUAGUAUUUCUCAGACCCAGAGAACAGAUGAUCGUGAAGUUUAUCUGUGCGGUUGUUCCCGGUCCAUUUCUCCUCCUCUCUCUGAUAGGGUAUGGAGGGUGUCUGGGUUAAGAAUAAUGAUCUUUAUUGGUUACUGACGAUCCUUUAUCUUCCUCUGUGGUCGAGAUGAUUUUAACCUGAAGAGAAAAAAUUUACAGGAUUAUAAAUGGUUUUCUCCUGCCAUCUUCCUGUUCCUCAUCAGUAUCAUUCCAUCUCUAUGGAUUCUAGAGUUACAUCAUCAGGAAACAAAGCUCCUGAUUCCAGGUGUGAAAACAUAAAGAGCCUGAUAAACAUGCAGAGAGGGAAUCCCACCAAUGGCAGCGAGACGUUAUUC